RNAcentral lists this ribosomal RNA (253 nucleotides) under uncultured bacterium. Its description in RNAcentral is "partial 16S ribosomal RNA". It matches the Rfam family "Bacterial small subunit ribosomal RNA", at positions 524 to 776 of the family's 1533-position model. The record is from RNAcentral.
UACGGAGGGUGCAAGCGUUAUCCGGAUUCACUGGGUUUAAAGGGUGCGUAGGCGGGCAGGUAAGUCCGUGGUGAAAUCUCUGAGCUUAACUCAGAAACUGCCAUGGAUACUAUUUGUCUUGAAUAUUGUGGAGGUAAGCGGAAUAUGUCAUGUAGCGGUGAAAUGCAUAGAUAUGACCCGGAACACCGAUUGCGAAGGCAGCCUACUAAGCAAUUAUUGACGCUGAGGCACGAAAGCGUGGGGAUCAAACAGG